This 549-nucleotide ribosomal RNA is filed under the name uncultured bacterium. Its description in RNAcentral is "bacterial SSU rRNA". It matches the Rfam family "Archaeal small subunit ribosomal RNA", at positions 725 to 1270 of the family's 1478-position model. The record is from RNAcentral.
AGUGAAUAGAUACCCUGGUAGUCCUAGCCGUAAACGAUACUCGCUAGGUGUCGGCCACGGUGCGACCGUUGUCGGUGCCGUAGGGAAAGCCGUGAAGCGAGCCACCUGGGAAGUACGGCCGCAAGGCUGAAACUUAAAGGAAUUGGCGGGGGAGCACCACAACGGGUGGAGCUUGCGGUUUAAAUUGGAUUCAACGCCGGAAAUCUUACCGGGACCGACAGCAAUAUGAAGGCCAGGCUGAAGACUUUGCCGGAUUAGCUGAGAGGUGGUGCAUGGCCGUCGUCAGUUCGUACUGUGAAGCAUCCUGUUAAGUCAGGCAACGAGCGAGACCCACGCCCACAGUUGCCAGCGUACUCUCUGGAGUGACGGGUACACUGUGGGGACCGCCGCUGCUAAAGCGGAGGAAGGAAUGGGCAACGGUAGGUCAGUAUGCCCCGAAUAUCCCGGGCUACACGCGAGCUACAAUGGUUGGUACAAUGGGUAUCUACCCCGAAAGGGGAUGGAAAUCUCCUAAAGCCAAUCUUAGUUCGGAUUGAGGGCUGCAACUCG